UUGACAUACGCUGUCUCUUUGAAGACAAAGGU
RNAcentral lists this non-coding RNA (32 nucleotides) under Mus musculus (house mouse). Lineage: Eukaryota; Metazoa; Chordata; Mammalia; Rodentia; Muridae. The record is from RNAcentral.